This 542-nucleotide ribosomal RNA is filed under the name Leptotrophon surprisensis. RNAcentral's name for it is "partial 12S ribosomal RNA". Lineage: Eukaryota; Metazoa; Mollusca; Gastropoda; Neogastropoda; Muricidae. The record is from RNAcentral.
AACCAAGAAGGUUAAAUUAUAUUUUAAUGGUAAAAAGGCAGUUAAAUACCUCAACAAGUUUAUUUAAUAUUUAUAAAGGGGUAGAAUUUGUAUAUAAAUAUUAAAUCUAAUUAUGACUUAGAUAUUGAAGCUGUGACAUCCUUGAGGGAAACUGGGAUUAGAUACCCCAUUAUUCUUGGACAUAAAAAAUAGUUAUUUACCGGAGUACUAUGAACUAAAAAAUUUAAAACUCAAAGAGCUUGACGGUAUUUUAGACCUCUCAGGGGAACCUGUCCCGUAAUCGACAAUCCACGUUAUACCUGACCCUACCUUGUUUUCAGUUUGUAUACCAUCGUCGUCAGGUAACUUUUAAAAAGCCGGAAGUUAGCAAAAAAGUGCUGUAUACUUAUACUUCAGAUCAAGGUGCAACUUAUAGUAGGGUGAGGAUGGGUUACAAUUAUAAAAUCAUAACUACGAAGUAAUUGUUAGAAUAAGUAAUUACAAGGAGGACUUGAAAGUAAAUUAUAUUAUAUAAAUAUUUUGAAUAGGGCUCUGAAAUGUGU